CGAAAUUGGCAUCUGGAACAGUGAUAUCCUCGAAGCCAUAAUCGUAGAGCCAAUUCGUGUUCUCAGGUGAAACCAUCUCCGAUCAAAGCCAGAAGGUGCUUCUCCGGCGUUAGGGCAAAACGGAAGAUCAAAUUGAGCAGGGAACAAUUCAGCAAAUUAUGAGAGAAAAUUCCAAAAAAUUCAAGAACAGAAAAUUGCUCCAACUAAUCAAGAAACAAUAACUCAUUUCACAAAAAUCAACGAAAAUCAAUUGAUAAUUACCCAUUUCAUGAAAAUUUCUAAGAACUCAUUUAUAGCAACAAAUCAAGAACCCAGAUCUGCAACCCAC
This 328-nucleotide long non-coding RNA is filed under the name Salvia miltiorrhiza (redroot sage). Its description in RNAcentral is "long non-coding RNA (SMIL_LNC004172)". Lineage: Eukaryota; Viridiplantae; Streptophyta; Magnoliopsida; Lamiales; Lamiaceae. The record is from RNAcentral.